Cricetulus griseus (Chinese hamster) is the source of this 806-nucleotide non-coding RNA. NCBI's taxonomy places the organism in Eukaryota, Metazoa, Chordata, Mammalia, Rodentia, Cricetidae. The record is from RefSeq and is a predicted model, not a curated record.
CCAUAAAGCUUACAUGUGGCGGUGGGGCUCAGCGGCUUUUGACAGAAAGAUUUAUCGUAACAGAAAGGAUUGGAAUUCACAUUCAGAAGUCAGCAAAGACGGGGGAGUCCACUGCUGCUAUGAACUUGCUGUUUAUCAACUGGGCCUCUAGAGGACACUCCUUUCUAAAAGGAAAGUGAUGCACACUGCAGAGUGCCUAUAAUCAGAAGGAGUGAGCUGCAGGAGAUCAGCCCAAAGGUCUCUUGCAGUGCAAUCUGCUCCUCCCACAGUUUUCUCUUCUCCAUUCUCAACAUAUGGACAUUGUUUUUCACCUGAGUCAAGUCUCGGAGGAUCAGGCUGUGCAGGUAACUGAACCAACAUCCACAAAUGGUAAGACCCAGCCAGCCUCCAUUUGCUAUCCAUACCUCCAAGUCCCAGGCCCCCAGUCAGCCCAAGACUGCAACUCACAAUAGCCAAGUCAGCAUUACUCAGAAGCAGGACAAAUCCAGACAAUAAGCAAAUUCCAGAAAUUUUCAAAGUACUUCUGAAAACCUUGGCACCAAAAGCUUUACUGUGCCCCUGAGAAGAGGAUAAAGCCCACACCUGUGCUUACCUUUUCAUGUUAUUGAGAAAACAUCAACAGUAGGGGGCAAACUCUCUGGACAAGGACAAAAGUCCCAACCAGAUUGAAUCCUGUCUAUAGGUCCCAUGUAAACCAUCUCUGUGAAGCCUCACCUGAGCCUGAGAGUCUCUGGGCUGCCUGGCAUCCCCUUCAUGGUGCAAACCAUUUUUUAUGUAGGGGCUCCUACCUAGGAGGGCCUUAGUGU